GUCCCUUCGGGGACAUUCGAUAAAAUUGAAACGAUACAGAAAAGAUUAGCAUGGCCCCUGUGCAAGGAUGACAUGCAUAAAUCGAGAAAUUAUUAUAAAAAUGUAU
Small nuclear RNA from Neltuma alba, 106 nucleotides. The record is from RefSeq and is a predicted model, not a curated record. NCBI's taxonomy places the organism in Eukaryota, Viridiplantae, Streptophyta, Magnoliopsida, Fabales, Fabaceae.